CGUGCCCUCACCAACAGCGCGCUGUGAAACCCGCCAGGGCCGGAAGGCAGCAACGGUAGCGGAAAGCGAGUGUGGUGGGGGCUUAGCC
This 88-nucleotide signal recognition particle RNA is filed under the name Myxococcales bacterium. RNAcentral describes it as "signal recognition particle sRNA small type". It matches the Rfam family "Bacterial small signal recognition particle RNA". Rfam says of the family: The signal recognition particle (SRP) is a universally conserved ribonucleoprotein involved in the co-translational targeting of proteins to membranes. Lineage: Bacteria; Pseudomonadati; Myxococcota; Myxococcia; Myxococcales. The record is from RNAcentral.